Neopelma chrysocephalum (saffron-crested tyrant-manakin) is the source of this 313-nucleotide long non-coding RNA. RefSeq lists it as uncharacterized. The transcript has 3 exons. The record is from RefSeq and is a predicted model, not a curated record. Lineage: Eukaryota; Metazoa; Chordata; Aves; Passeriformes; Pipridae.
UGUAUGACCACAUCUUGAGAGAUCCAGGUUAAACCUAUUGACCACAUCUACGUAUCUCUGACCAUUAAAUUCCACCUCUUGAUGCCUGUACACUGGGGAAUGUCCUCAAUGUUCAGAGAAGCAGAAGUUCACUAAAGAUAAUGCAGACAGAUAAGAAAAGGAACUUAAAAUUUAAAAGAAGCAAAAGUCAACAUAAAAUCAGAGUUUCAGCUGUGUAUUAAAACGUUCUUUAGAGCGUCUGAGAAAUUGAUCAUGGCCCUCCUCCUUCACUAAAAUGAUUACAUCAGCUCGUCAGACAAAGUAGAUUUUCAAG